This 449-nucleotide ribosomal RNA is filed under the name bacterium enrichment culture clone NKeF3GA4. RNAcentral describes it as "bacterial SSU rRNA". It matches the Rfam family "Bacterial small subunit ribosomal RNA", at positions 32 to 526 of the family's 1533-position model. The record is from RNAcentral.
ACGACGCUGGCGGCAGGCCUAACACAUGCAAGUCGAGCGAGACCUUCGGGUCUAGCGGCGGACGGGUUAGUAACGCGUGGGAACGUGCCCUUCACUACGGAAUAGUCCUGGGAAACUGGGUUUAAUACCGUAUACGCCCUUCGGGGGAAAGAAUUUCGGUGAAGGAUCGGCCCGCGUUAGAUUAGGUAGUUGGUGGGGUAAUGGCCUACCAAGCCUACGAUCUAUAGCUGGUUUUAGAGGAUGAUCAGCAACACUGGGACUGAGACACGGCCCAGACUCCUACGGGAGGCAGCAGUGGGGAAUCUUGGACAAUGGGCGCAAGCCUGAUCCAGCCAUGCCGCGUGAGUGAUGAAGGCCUUAGGGUCGUAAAGCUCUUUCGCCAGGGAUGAUAAUGACAGUACCUGGUAAAGAAACCCCGGCUAACUCCGUGCCAGCAGCCGCGGUAAUAC